GCUCCCUUCGUCUAGAGGCCUAGGACGUGGCCCUCUCAAGGCUAAAACAGGGGUUCGAAUCCCCUAGGGAGCGCCA
Molecule: transfer RNA, 76 nt
Filed under: Luteimonas pelagia
Lineage: Bacteria; Pseudomonadati; Pseudomonadota; Gammaproteobacteria; Lysobacterales; Lysobacteraceae
Also listed under: 5 other names
Description: tRNA-Glu
Rfam family: tRNA
About the family: Transfer RNA (tRNA) molecules are approximately 80 nucleotides in length. Their secondary structure includes four short double-helical elements and three loops (D, anti-codon, and T loops).
Source: RNAcentral